Doryrhamphus excisus (bluestripe pipefish) is the source of this 685-nucleotide non-coding RNA. The record is from RefSeq and is a predicted model, not a curated record. Lineage: Eukaryota; Metazoa; Chordata; Actinopteri; Syngnathiformes; Syngnathidae.
UCUACAAUGAAGUAUUAUCAUCUCUGAUUGGUUGAGUUGGAGCACCUGUGGUUGCUGGGAGCUUCGAGGCGAUUGAAGUCCCAGCUGACAACUAAUCAAUCAUCCUAACAAUUUAGUAGUUUUGUUAGCGUAAGGUUAAAAUUCUACAUCUACGUUGCAUUAGUAGUUUUCUUUUGUCUUGUUUUCCUCUCAUCCUCCGUGGAGAAACACCCACCCGACGCCAAUCAAGUGUUCCGGCUACACAUGAGGAAGUAGCGAACCACAGCAUCAAACAAGUGACUCGGGACUUCAAAGGGUAGCGACCAUCAUCUGGAGGUUUCCUACAGCCACACCGGGUGUUAAUUGAAUCCUGACGCGGCGAAAUUCCUUCCAAAAUGGCGCGUCUUCGUUGUGGAAAAUCUACUUGACCCCAGUACCACCGGAUGAAACCCACGGUGCCAGCAACAGUACUCGCGCCUGAGAUUGAGAACCAAUGGGCUAAGAUUGGAACUUCCGGGUUGUCAUGACGUCAUGAAGGGAAAAACCUCAUGGACAUGGAUCCGCUCCGAGCUAAACGAGACUGCACCAGCUUUGGAAGAAAACCUGAUGCGGCCCAGUCUCAACCAGACCCGAGCUCCAGUGGCCCCCAGGUAAAUUGAGUUUGAGACCCCUGGUACAAGUGAUAAACGUUGAUGACACCGCGGCG